GAGCCUAGGUCGGAUUAGCUAGUUGGUGGGGUAAUGGCUCACCAAGGCGACGAUCCGUAACUGGUCUGAGAGGAUGAUCAGUCACACUGGAACUGAGACACGGUCCAGACUCCUACGGGAGGCAGCAGUGGGGAAUAUUGGACAAUGGGCGAAAGCCUGAUCCAGAAGUGCCGCGUGUGUGAAGAAGGUCUUCGGAUUGUAAAGCAAUUGGAGUUGGAGGAAGGGCAGUAAAUUAAUACUUUGCUGUUUGACGUA
RNAcentral lists this ribosomal RNA (255 nucleotides) under uncultured bacterium. RNAcentral's name for it is "partial 16S ribosomal RNA". It matches the Rfam family "Bacterial small subunit ribosomal RNA", at positions 227 to 476 of the family's 1533-position model. The record is from RNAcentral.